Molecule: non-coding RNA, 361 nt
Organism: Cinara cedri
Lineage: Eukaryota; Metazoa; Arthropoda; Insecta; Hemiptera; Aphididae
Source: the annotation of a GenBank genome assembly
CAAGUAGUAGCGACCGGCGGCGGUAGUGUGUUUUUCGCGUGAACGUGUGUGUUUGUGUGUGUGCAUAUCGUGUAUUUGCAAGUGAACAUGUGUGUGUGUGAGCAGUGAGCGGUACAACGGCCGCGUGUGCGUGCGUGUUUGUAUGUACGCGCGUAUUAUUGUGGCACUGUGUGCGUACGCUAGCGCGGCGGCGGCGGCGGCGGCGGUGGUGAUAUAUAGAUAACAGUCCCGCGCGCGCGUUUUCGGGGUCUACGCGUCCGCACACCGCCGGUCCACCGCGCGCGGGCGCGUUCCACCAACUCAUACCACGCACCGCGCGCUCAUCGCGAUCGCGGGAGCCCGUGUGCGUACAACAACUCGU